This 69-nucleotide transfer RNA is filed under the name Styloperla spinicercia. RNAcentral describes it as "tRNA-His". It matches the Rfam family "tRNA". Rfam says of the family: Transfer RNA (tRNA) molecules are approximately 80 nucleotides in length. The record is from RNAcentral. Lineage: Eukaryota; Metazoa; Arthropoda; Insecta; Plecoptera; Styloperlidae.
ACUUAAAUAGUUUAAUAUAAAAUUUUGAUUUGUGGUGUCAAUGAUGUGAAUUAAAAUUCAUUUUAGGUC